Molecule: ribosomal RNA, 601 nt
Filed under: uncultured bacterium
Lineage: Bacteria
Description: bacterial SSU rRNA
Rfam family: Bacterial small subunit ribosomal RNA
Source: RNAcentral
CCUACGGGAGGCAGCAGUGGGGAAUAUUGCACAAUGGGCGCAAGCCUGAUGCAGCGACGCCGCGUGGGGGAUGACGGCCUUCGGGUUGUAAACUCCUUUCGCUAGGGACGAAGCUUUUUGUGACGGUACCUAGAUAAGAAGCACCGGCUAACUACGUGCCAGCAGCCGCGGUAAUACGUAGGGUGCGAGCGUUGUCCGGAAUUACUGGGCGUAAAGGGCUCGUAGGUGGUUUGUCGCGUCGUCUGUGAAAUUCCGGGGCUUAACUCCGGGCGUGCAGGCGAUACGGGCAUAACUUGAGUACUGUAGGGGUAACUGGAAUUCCUGGUGUAGCGGUGAAAUGCGCAGAUAUCAGGAGGAACACCGAUGGCGAAGGCAGGUUACUGGGCAGUUACUGACGCUGAGGAGCGAAAGCAUGGGUAGCGAACAGGAUUAGAUACCCUGGUAGUCCAUGCCGUAAACGGUGGGCGCUAGGUGUGAGGGUCUUUUCACGACUUUCGUGCCGUAGCUAACGCAUUAAGCGCCCCGCCUGGGGAGUCGGCCGCAAGGCUAAAACUUAAAUGAAUUGAACGGCUGAGAGUGCGAGACGACGACGAGGAGGAGG